GACGAACGCUGGCGGCGUGCUUAACACAUGCAAGUCGAGCGACGAACCAGGGCUUGCCCUGGGGCAGAGCCGCGAACGGGUGAGUAACGCGCGUGUAACGUGCCCCAAUGACUGGGACAACCCGUGGAAACCCGGGCUAUUACCGGAUGUGCGCUCUCACACCUGUGAGUUGGGUCAAGGAAGCUUCGGCCUCUGCAUCGGUAACGGCCCGCGGCCCAUUAGCUUGUUGGUUAGUUAACGGCUCUCCAAGGCUGCGAUGGGUAGCUGGUAUGAGAGGGAGGUCACACACACUGGCACAGAGAAACGGCCCAGACACCUACGGGAGGCAACGGCCGGGACUCUUGCGCAAUGCGGGAAAGCGUGACGCAGCAACGCCGCGUGGGGGAAGACGGCGCUCGGCUUGGAAACCCCUGUAGGUUGGGGCGAAGGUCGGGCGGUUAACAGCCGUUCAGACUGACGGUACCUGCACAAGAAGCCCCGGCUAACUACGUG
Molecule: ribosomal RNA, 492 nt
Filed under: uncultured bacterium
Lineage: Bacteria
Description: partial 16S ribosomal RNA
Rfam family: Bacterial small subunit ribosomal RNA
Source: RNAcentral